Molecule: ribosomal RNA, 415 nt
Filed under: uncultured soil bacterium
Lineage: Bacteria
Description: bacterial SSU rRNA
Rfam family: Bacterial small subunit ribosomal RNA
Source: RNAcentral
AGAUUGAACGCUGGCGGCAUGCCUUACACAUGCAAGUCGAACGGCAGCACGGGAGCAAUCCUGGUGGCGAGUGGCGAACGGGUGAGUAAUAUAUCGGAACGUGCCCAGUAGUGGGGGAUGGCCCGGCGAAAGCCGGAUUAAUACCGCAUACGACCUGAGGGUGAAAGCGGGGGAUCGCAAGACCUCGCGCUACUGGAGCGGCCGAUAUCAGAUUAGCUAGUUGGUGGGUAAAGGCCUACCAAGGCAACGAUCUGUAGUUGGUCUGAGAGGACGACCAGCCACACUGGGACUGAGACACGGCCCAGACUCCUACGGGAGCAGCGAGUGGGAAUUUUGGACGAAGUGGGACGCGAAGCCGUGAUCCAGCAAGUGCCGCGUGCGAGGAAGGAACGGCCGUUCGGUUGUAAACUUGUAC